This 76-nucleotide transfer RNA is filed under the name Tsukamurella tyrosinosolvens. RNAcentral's name for it is "tRNA-Ala". It matches the Rfam family "tRNA". Rfam says of the family: Transfer RNA (tRNA) molecules are approximately 80 nucleotides in length. Their secondary structure includes four short double-helical elements and three loops (D, anti-codon, and T loops). RNAcentral also lists the same sequence under 9 other names. The record is from RNAcentral. Lineage: Bacteria; Bacillati; Actinomycetota; Actinomycetes; Mycobacteriales; Tsukamurellaceae.
GGGGCCUUAGCUCAGUUGGUAGAGCGCCGCCUUUGCAAGGCGGAUGUCAGGAGUUCGAAUCUCCUAGGCUCCACAA